RNAcentral lists this ribosomal RNA (371 nucleotides) under uncultured bacterium. RNAcentral describes it as "bacterial SSU rRNA". It matches the Rfam family "Bacterial small subunit ribosomal RNA", at positions 527 to 896 of the family's 1533-position model. The record is from RNAcentral.
GGGGGGGGCAAGCGUUGUUCGGAAUUACUGGGCGUAAAAGGCUCGUAGGCGGCCAACUAAGUCGGACGUGAAAUCCCUCGGCUUAACCGGGGAACUGCGUCCGAUACUGGAUGGCUUGAGUUCGGGAGAGGGAUGCGGAAUUCCAGGUGUAGCGGUGAAAUGCGUAGAUAUCUGGAGGAACACCGGUGGCGAAGGCGGCAUCCUGGACCGACACUGACGCUGAGGAGCGAAAGCCAGGGGAGCAAACGGGAUUAGAUACCCCGGUAGUCCUGGCCCUAAACGAUGAAUGCUUGGUGUGGCGGGUAUCGAUCCCUGCCGUGCCGAAGCUAACGCAUUAAGCAUUCCGCCUGGGGAGUACGGUCGCAAGGCUG